Molecule: ribosomal RNA, 253 nt
Filed under: uncultured bacterium
Lineage: Bacteria
Description: partial 16S ribosomal RNA
Rfam family: Bacterial small subunit ribosomal RNA
Source: RNAcentral
UACAGAGGUCCCGAGCGUUGUUCGGAUUCACUGGGCGUAAAGGGUGUGUAGGAGGUAUGAUAAGUCUGGCGUGAAAUCCCACUGCUUAACAGUGGAACUGCGUUGGAUACUGUCGUGCUAGAGGAUUAGAGAGGAGAGCGGAAUUCUUGGUGUAGCGGUGAAAUGCGUAGAUAUCAAGAGGAACACCAGCGGCGAAAGCGGCUCUCUGGAUAAUUCCUGACUCUGAAACACGAAAGCCAGGGUAGCAAACGGG